UACGAGGGGGGCGAGCGUUGUUCGGAAUUAUUGGGCGUAAAGCGUGCGUAGGUGGUCUGUUAAGUGAGAUGUGAAAGCGCGGGGCUCAACCCUGUCGUUGUGUCUCAUACUGGCAGACUAGAGGAUGGCAGAGGCAAGUGGAACUAGUAGUGUAGCAGUGAAAUGCGUAGAUAUUACUAAGAACACCAAUGGCGAAGGCAGCUUGCUGGGCCACCCCUGACACUGAGGUACGAAAGCGUGGGGAGCGAACAGG
RNAcentral lists this ribosomal RNA (253 nucleotides) under uncultured bacterium. RNAcentral describes it as "partial 16S ribosomal RNA". It matches the Rfam family "Bacterial small subunit ribosomal RNA", at positions 524 to 776 of the family's 1533-position model. The record is from RNAcentral.